GUCUUCUUCGGCAUUGUUUCUGGCGCCGGUGGUUAUCAGGCAACCAUCGCGAUCCGCGACGGGC
Molecule: small RNA, 64 nt
Filed under: Sinorhizobium meliloti 2011
Lineage: Bacteria; Pseudomonadati; Pseudomonadota; Alphaproteobacteria; Hyphomicrobiales; Rhizobiaceae
Description: putative ncRNA
Source: RNAcentral